ACCAAAAGUGGCCCACCAUCUCCCAUGG
RNAcentral lists this small RNA (28 nucleotides) under Bombyx mori (domestic silkworm). RNAcentral describes it as "ovarian small RNA-11193". The record is from RNAcentral. Lineage: Eukaryota; Metazoa; Arthropoda; Insecta; Lepidoptera; Bombycidae.